This is a long non-coding RNA of Saimiri boliviensis boliviensis (Bolivian squirrel monkey), 651 nucleotides long. RefSeq lists it as uncharacterized. The record is from RefSeq and is a predicted model, not a curated record. Lineage: Eukaryota; Metazoa; Chordata; Mammalia; Primates; Cebidae.
GCGCGGGCACCUGGCGCGGAGCUGGCGGGAGGGCUGGGAAUCUGCAAACGUUCGCAGUUCGGGUGGACUGCGGGGGGAGUUGACACCCCCCCACCCCCACCGCCUGCGCUUCCUUUCACUUUGAAGUUCUGUGGCUCCGCACUGGAGCUGGGAGGCCAGUCCUCCAGCCUGGGGCUUUCAAUAUUCACAUCACGUCCUCUUUGCGGCUACAGCGGAAGUUCAGGCGACCUCCCCGCAACACAAGGUGGGGUGGGGGGUUUCGAACCACAGUGCUGCGUCUCGAAUCGCCAGGCGUGACCAAGUAGUUGAGACAUGACUGGGAUCUAGGGUGCAGAAGGGCCCUCUUGGGUAAGAGCGGUUGUAAAGAUAUGAUGACGAGAAAUAAAAGUGAAUGUGGAAACAUGAAUCUCUAAGCCCCCAUCCUAGGAACUUUCCGUGUUUCCGUAUUCAAGACAGGAGGAAAGCAUUAUGUGGCACACGUGACAUCUGCAAAUCAGUGCAUAUUCUUCUGCACCCUCGUCUACUCCUGUGUGUUGAAUAUUAAAUAUUGAGUUAAUGAAUUCACCGAAUGGGUUGAUUAAAAUGGAUGGCCUUUCCCGAUGUGGGUGGGCCUCAUGCAAUCAGCUGAAGGCUGAAAAGAACAAAAAGGCU